UGGGGAAUUUUGGACAAUGGGGGAAACCCUGAUCCAGCCAUCCCGCGUGUGCGAUGAAGGCCUUCGGGUUGUAAAGCACUUUUGGCAGGAAAGAAACGUCGCGGGUUAAUACCCCGCGAAACUGACGGUACCUGCAGAAUAAGCACCGGCUAACUACGUGCCAGCAGCCGCGGUAAUACGUAGGGUGCAAGCGUUAAUCGGAAUUACUGGGCGUAAAGCGUGCGCAGGCGGUUCGGAAAGAAAGAUGUGAAAUCCCAGAGCUUAACUUUGGAACUGCAUUUUUAACUACCGGGCUAGAGUGUGUCAGAGGGAGGUGGAAUUCCGCGUGUAGCAGUGAAAUGCGUAGAUAUGCGGAGGAACACCGAUGGCGAAGGCAGCCUCCUGGGAUAACACUGACGCUCAUGCACGAAGGCGUGGGGAGCAAACAGGAUUAGAUACCCUGGUAGUCCACGCCCUAAACGAUGUCAACUAGCUGUUGGGGCCUUCGGGCCUUGGUAGCGCAGCUAACGCGUGAAGUUGACCGCCUGGGGAGUACGGUCGCAAGAUUAAAACUCAAAUGAAUUGACGGGGGUC
Molecule: ribosomal RNA, 573 nt
Filed under: uncultured bacterium
Lineage: Bacteria
Description: partial 16S ribosomal RNA
Rfam family: Bacterial small subunit ribosomal RNA
Source: RNAcentral